UACGUAGGGGGCAAGCGUUGUCCGGAAUUAUUGGGCGUAAAGAGCUCGUAGGCGGCUCAGCAAGUCGGCUGUGAAAUCCCGAGGCUCAACCUCGGAACUGCAGUCGAUACUGCUGUGGCUAGAGUCUGGUAGAGGAGAAUGGAAUUCCCGGUGUAGCGGUGAAAUGCGCAGAUAUCGGGAGGAACACCAGUAGCGAAGGCGGUUCUCUGGGCCAGUACUGACGCUGAGGAGCGAAAGCGUGGGUAGCAAACAGG
Molecule: ribosomal RNA, 254 nt
Filed under: uncultured prokaryote
Description: partial 16S ribosomal RNA
Rfam family: Bacterial small subunit ribosomal RNA
Source: RNAcentral